This 449-nucleotide ribosomal RNA is filed under the name uncultured bacterium. RNAcentral describes it as "partial 16S ribosomal RNA". It matches the Rfam family "Bacterial small subunit ribosomal RNA", at positions 29 to 523 of the family's 1533-position model. The record is from RNAcentral.
AACGAACGCUGGCGGCAUGCCUAACACAUGCAAGUCGAACGAGAUCUUCGGGUCUAGUGGCGCACGGGUGCGUAACGCGUGGGAAUCUGCCCUUUGGUUCGGAAUAACAGUUGGAAACGACUGCUAAUACCGGAUGAUGACGAAAGUCCAAAGAUUUAUCGCCAGAGGAUGAGCCCGCGUAGGAUUAGCUAGUUGGUGUGGUAAAGGCGCACCAAGGCGACGAUCCUUAGCUGGUCUGAGAGGAUGAUCAGCCACACUGGGACUGAGACACGGCACAGACUCCUACGGGAGGCAGCAGUGAGGAAUAUUGGACAAGGGGCGAAAGCCUGAUCCAGCAAUGCCGCGUGAGUGAUGAAGGCCUUAGGGUUGUAAAGCUCUUUUACCCGGGAUGAUAAUGACAGUACCGGGAGAAUAAGCUCCGGCUAACUCCGUGCCAGCAGCCGCCGUAA